GACGAACGCUGGCGGCGUGCUUAACACAUGCAAGUCGAACGAUGAAGAAAAGAAUUGCAGCUUCGGCAGAAAUUCAUUUCGGAUUAGUGGCAGACGGGUGGGUAACGCGUGAGCAACCUACCUCUUACAAAGGGAUAGCCUCGGGAAACCGGGAUUAAUACCAUAUAACAUUGCGACGAAGCAUUUCGAUGCAAUCAAAGCUACGGCGGUAAGAGAUGGGCUCGCGUCCCAUUAACCAGAUGGUGAGGUAACGGCUCACCAUAGUAACGAUGGGUAACCGGCCUGAGAGGGUGAACGGUCACACUGGAACUGAGACACGGUCCAGACUCCUACGGGAGGCAGCAGUGGGGAAUAUUGCACAAUGGAGGGAACUCUGAUGCAGCGACGCCGCGUGAGUGAUGAAGGAAUUCGUUUCGUAAAACUCUGUUCUAUGGGAAGAAAAGGACUGUACCAUAGGAGAAAGCUCCGGCUAAAUACGUG
RNAcentral lists this ribosomal RNA (480 nucleotides) under uncultured bacterium. Its description in RNAcentral is "partial 16S ribosomal RNA". It matches the Rfam family "Bacterial small subunit ribosomal RNA", at positions 28 to 507 of the family's 1533-position model. The record is from RNAcentral.